UACGAAGGAUCCAAGCGUUAUCCGGAUUCAUUGGGUUUAAAGGGUGCGUAGGCGGUUUAAUAAGUCAGUGGUGAAAUCUCCGAGCUUAACUCGGAAAUUGCCAUUGAUACUGUUAGACUAGAGUUCAGAUGAUGUUGGCGGAAUGUGUCAUGUAGCGGUGAAAUGCUUAGAUAUGACACAGAACACCGAUUGCGAAGGCAGCUGACAAAACUGAUACUGACGCUGAUGCACGAAAGUGCGGGGAUCAAACAGG
Molecule: ribosomal RNA, 253 nt
Filed under: uncultured bacterium
Lineage: Bacteria
Description: partial 16S ribosomal RNA
Rfam family: Bacterial small subunit ribosomal RNA
Source: RNAcentral